RNAcentral lists this ribosomal RNA (314 nucleotides) under uncultured Actinomycetes bacterium. RNAcentral describes it as "bacterial SSU rRNA". It matches the Rfam family "Bacterial small subunit ribosomal RNA", at positions 28 to 351 of the family's 1533-position model. Lineage: Bacteria; Bacillati; Actinomycetota; Actinomycetes. The record is from RNAcentral.
GACGAACGCUGGCGGCGUGCUUAACACAUGCAAGUCGAGCGAGGGCCUUCGGGUCCUAGCGGCGAACGGGUGAGUAACACGUGGGCAACCUGCCCCAAGCUUCGGAAUAACCUCGGGAAACCGGGGCUAAUGCCGGAUACGACACCACUGGGCAUCUUGUGGUGUGGAAAGAUUUAUCGGCUUGGGAUGGGCCCGCGGCCUAUCAGCUUGUUGGUGGGGUAGUGGCCUACCAAGGGCGACGACGGGUAGCCGGCCUGAGAGGGCGACCGGCCACACUGGGACUGAGACACGGCCCAGACUCCUACGGGAGGCAG